Micropterus dolomieu (smallmouth bass) is the source of this 439-nucleotide long non-coding RNA. RefSeq lists it as uncharacterized. NCBI's taxonomy places the organism in Eukaryota, Metazoa, Chordata, Actinopteri, Centrarchiformes, Centrarchidae. The transcript has 3 exons. The record is from RefSeq and is a predicted model, not a curated record.
AUUUGGACGAGACGGUGGAGCUGUCAGCCGUGUGUGGAGCUAGCUAGCUUGCUUAACAAGGGGUACAUUAAUAAUCCCUAAUAUAUGUGGAAGAAAUUCAAGUUGUGAACGAGCCCACAAGAAGUGUAACCAAACCUGCUACUGCCAACAAGGAGAACAUGCUCAAAGCCGCUUCAGACUCUGACGUUUGAUGCGACCCUUUAUUGCACCUCAGAGGUUGGACUGGGCCACGUUUCAGGACUGACCUCAUUCACUCUCAGCGCAAGACGUAGCAUUACUGAAUCAACUGCACAGCUCAACAAGCAGAGCAUUUCGAACACUUGACAGACCUGGAUCAAAUCAACCAAGUUUGUAAAAGAAAAAUAUAUUUUGUGUCAGCUACAUGCCUUAUUUUAAUUUCAAUAUUUGUGUAAAACAAAACUGUUUAAUAAAAAGCAUC